Non-coding RNA from Paramormyrops kingsleyae, 3253 nucleotides. Lineage: Eukaryota; Metazoa; Chordata; Actinopteri; Osteoglossiformes; Mormyridae. The record is from RefSeq and is a predicted model, not a curated record.
UUUAUAUUUUGAACAAAUGGGUUAAUUUAUUUUGGUCGCUUUGGUGCAUUUCUAUUGAUUUUGAUUUUCAAAAUAGUCCAUUUUUAUAUGUGCAUGUCUUCAUUGUGUGACAAUCAGAUAUGACAUAUAAUCGGCAGUAUCACGCGGAGGCUGGGGAGGAGCCAGCAAAAUUCCACUUAAAGUUUGCUCGUUAAUUUUGGAAUAACGGAGGGUUUUGGGAAACUCGCGGAUCUCACUCGUUCUUUACUUACCUCGUUUGUUAUUCGCUAAGAUCGAUCGCUUUCGGGAAACGCGCCCCUGGUUUGAACAGCUGCGGUCCUCUGCUUACCAGCCCAUCUGAGAAGAUGAAACUCACCUGCAUCGUCCUUCUUCUUCUUGGAGCUCUGGUCUCCCUGAGCUUCUCUAACAACGGUGACAACAAUCUACCAAGUAAAUGCUGCCAAAAAUACUUCGAAGGGCGAGUUCCAGCAGCAGCAGUGACAUCCUGUGAAGAAACAGAUAACAGAUGCGGCUUGGAUGCUGUACUGUCAUCAGUCUUCGUUGGACAAACAUGUCACAUCUUACAAGCUAAUGGCCUUUGAAGAAACCUUAAGAGAAGUGUUCAUUAUAGUAUACUGUAUGUGUGCCCUGUGAUGGGUUGGUGCCCCAUCCUGGGCUGUUCCCUGCUUUGCGCCAGUAGCCUCUGGGAUGGACUCCAAACCCACCACCACCCUGAAUAAGAGAAGUUACAGAAAAAGGAUGGAUGGAUGGAUGGCUUAUAUCUCCAAACUGUCAUCUCUUUCAAGCAAUACCCAACCCCCACCUCCGGUCCCCCGAAGAUCCAUUAUUCACGGCAGCCGGUUCAAUACGCAAGUUCAUCAAAGUCCCUGCCGCCCCCCCCCCCACACACCUCGACAGGCAUCCAAGAUCAAAAUAUCCCCUGGAGUCGUCCUCCCCCAGCAGAGUGCUACGUCCCCGAAAUCCUGAAGACUCCAUCUUCAGCUUCUGACACAUCUUCAGAAAAAAAAUAAUAAUUCAGAGAUUGAACAGUUAUUUCAUUAUGAAUACGGCAUGGGUGCAACAGCUCUCGUCUGCGUUAGACAAUCCCCUUAUCACGCUGAGAAGCUGAUUAGCACUCAUGCCUGAAAGGGUUAGAACUAUCUAAUUAUUUUAAGCCAAUGGCUACAGUCAUCUGGUUGAAAGGCUGCAGUUCCCAUUCAAAUGAAAACUGCCUCUGAAACAACAAGCCUCGUAUGUCAUUUGAGAGAAAGAACUGAUUGACUGACAAUGCCGAAAAUAUAUAAAUUAUGAAACACAUCAGCAUCAGUCUGGCAUUAUAUAUUUGUUAAUUCAAUCUUAUUUUCAACCAUCAAUUACCUUCAUCUUUGCCCUGUAAACCCGAUUAUCACCAAGGGCACAAUAUUCAUUUAGAUCAAAGUCAUCCCUUUACCCAAAAGGCAAGGAUGCUAUUUUGUAUUUGUAAAGAUAGUUGUAAUGCUUGUGAAGAAGGACAAAACUUAUUUAGAUAUACAUACAGUGAUUUUGGGGUUUGAGCUGCCAUUUUGGGUUAGGCUUCAAAUAAGAAGUUAAUAAGAAGUUAUUGAACAUGAUCAGAUGGAUCUGGGGCUUCUUCAGCUGCCCCUGCCCGUGCUUUGAGGAAAGCCCACGCCUAUGUCUGCUGCCAAGGGAAGAGGUAUCUGAAAUCAAUGCAGCAGCUUCCGCUUUUCAAGGCACCAGAUGGUGGUGAGUGUGAGCGAGCCUUUGGCGGUGGAGUCUAGCAUUUCAGCUCUCCAGAUGAUUCAGUCGUAUGCAACAGCUUCAGUUUGUGUUCCGGCAGAAAAACUUACCUUCCUUCUUUAUUGCACAAUCAGAGCAUGAGCUAAGCUACUGUACAUCACGGCCAUUGUCAGGCUUAACCUGUACAAGCUCAGUAAACCUUCCUGUGCUUUCAGCCCAGCAGUAGCGAGAAUAGUCUGCUGGUUCCCUGUCGGGUUUCCUAGUGAUAAUCUCCCCGUCUGAAACAGCUGACCAGGUCAGGCAACUGUCAGCCCCUACAACGUCUAAUGUGAGCCUUGUGAAAGUCUUAUGAAUGUUCUAGUGAAUCAAUUUUUAUCAUCCAUCAUCCAUCCAUCCAUGCGUCCACCCAACCAUCCAUCAUCCUCCAUUCAUCCAUCCAUCCAUUCAUCAUCAUCCUCCCAAUCCACCCAUCGAUCUAUCUAUCGAUCUAUCUAUCUAUCUAUCUCUCUGUCCAUCCGUCCGUCCGUCUUUCUGCUUUAUAAAACAUCUUCCCACAUCUUCCCACCUCGGGGCCUCCACAGGCGACAGGGAUAAGAGGCUCAGGCAGGUGCCUUGUGCUGGAGCAGCCCGGAAGGUUCUGUUCUUAUCCAUUGUUCCAUGCGAUGCAGGGGGUGCGGUUGCAGUUUAAUAGUUUAUGUCACACUCACACAAUAAGCCACCGUAAAGGGACAGAAGUCGAACAGUUGCCAAGGGAACAUGCUACUCUAAUAUCAUACAAUGUCAUGCUGUGUGUAUAUGUGGGUAUUUGUUAUUCAUGAUUUUGUUACUUAGGCAAAGAUGCAUUGUAGCUCAUAAUUUUACAGAAUGACCUUCAAUUAUAUAUUAUAUAAGAUGAUUUUUCACUCAUGCAUUUUUGUUUAAAUAUCAAGGCACACCAGGAUCGACGUCCUAAUCGUAAAGAAAAAAUACUGGCCUCUAGUCCCUAAAGUAUAAAAUAGUUUUUAAAAUAAAGUUUAUGUUAUAACAGAAAGGCUAUAGCUCAUUAGCAUUUGUUUCCAGUAAUUAGCCGCGUGCCACAAAUGAACAUGCAGCUCAUCCAAACUUCAGAAACUCUCAGUGGAAUAUAUUACGGUUUUUUCUGUCUUGUCUUUUUGGAUCAGAUACGGAGCAAAAUCAAAAAAAAAAAACAAACUACCGCAUGUUAACCACUUCUGUCAAGUCCUACUCAUCGUUGCUAAGCGACCUGGUAGCGAUAAAGAGUGACUUAAUCUUUUUUGUGUUGGAGGGGGGGGGGGUUGAUUUAUGAAUAUUUUUCCUGCACCAGUAAUUGAGUCUUCCCUGUUAUUCAUCAUGGGAAUCACGUCAUGUCAAGGGACGUCUCCUGAGACAUAUAAUUCCAAAUGGCAAAUUGCUAAUGUCACAGUUAUUGUUAAGAGCUUUUAUUAGCAAAGGGGGGAGGAAGGGAAUUAAUUUGUACCACAGUAGUAUAGGCUAUUUCAAAAGGAGUAUUUAAAAUAAACAUAACUAUUUAGCAUGA